Pyrgilauda ruficollis (rufous-necked snowfinch) is the source of this 786-nucleotide long non-coding RNA. RefSeq lists it as uncharacterized. The record is from RefSeq and is a predicted model, not a curated record. The transcript is spliced from 3 exons. NCBI's taxonomy places the organism in Eukaryota, Metazoa, Chordata, Aves, Passeriformes, Passeridae.
CCCACACAAGGGGUGUCCGUCCCACACGAGGGUGUCUGUCCCCCCUCCCCGCUCCCGGGGCUCUGUCCCUGCUGUCCCGCAUUCCCUGGCACGCGGCUCGGCGCUGUCGGCCGGACACGCCGCAGCUGCCGGGGCUGCGGAGGGAUCAAAGCCCGGCCGGGGGGGCCGGGGGUGUUUACACGGACGCGGUGUUCAGAGCAGCCCCUCCCUCUUGUUUUCCCCGCCAGCGCAGCGAGGUUUGAGGGGGGGUCACUGUGACUCCUCUUCCCACCCCCAUGCAUGGGGAUGGGGGCUCAGCCAUGGGAGGGGCUCUGGGAAGGAAUGGGGGGAGCAAUGACUCUGUCAGUCUGUCCCUGAGGCCAUUCGGGGUCCCUGUGUCCCCUUCCAGCUCUGGAGAUGAGGCUGACCCCAUUAUUUGGGGGUGUCAGGGUGUGACAAACUCUGGGGAAGCAGCUCCGGUGUCCCCCAAGUGUCCCCUCCCCAGGGCACCCACCAAAAUGAGUUGGAGGGGUUUGGGGGGUUGGACCUACCCACCCACGAGCCCCCUUUGUGCCCCCCAGGCUGCUGGUGGGGGCCCCCCAGGACGCGGAGCCGGUGAACGGGACACGGACGGGCGCCGUGUACGCCUGUCCCCUGAGUGCCACCACCCGCGACUGCCAGCGCCUGGCCAUCGAGCUCAAGGAUGAGCCGGACAAGGCCAUCAUCGAGGACAUGUGGCUGGGGGUGACAGUGGCCAGCCAGCGGCAGCCACCGGGGAGGGUCCUGGCCUGUGCCCACCACUACACG